AUACGGAGGAUCCGAGCGUUAUCCGGAUUUAUUGGGUUUAAAGGGUGCGCAGGCGGGAGAUUAAGUCGGCGGUGAAAUUUUUCAGCUCAACUGUAAAAGUGCCUUCGAAACUGGUUUCCUUGAGUGUAGAUGAAGUAGGCGGAAUUUGUGGUGUAGCGGUGAAAUGCAUAGAUAUCAAGAGGAACUCCGAUUGCGCAGGCCGCUUAUUAAACUAUGACUGACGCUCAGGCACGAAGGCGUGGGGAUCAAACAGGAUUAGAUACACUGGUAGUGCAAGCAGUAAACGAUGAUUACUAGCUGUUUGCGAUACAAUGUAAGCGGCUGAGCGAAAGCGUUAAGUAAUCCACCUGGGGAGUACGUUCGCAAGAAUGAAACACAAAGGAAUUGACGGGG
This 393-nucleotide ribosomal RNA is filed under the name uncultured bacterium. RNAcentral's name for it is "partial 16S ribosomal RNA". It matches the Rfam family "Bacterial small subunit ribosomal RNA", at positions 523 to 918 of the family's 1533-position model. The record is from RNAcentral.